UUUUUACUUGGUUGAAUUUCUGUGUAAUGAAAAGAAAAAGUCUCUCCUUGCCUAUGUAACAGACAUAUUUGGGAAACUGAACAAACUGUAUGCAACCAUGCAGGGGAAAUACAAAAACAUUAUACAGAUGAGUGACCAUAUCAGUGGAUUCAGAGGAAAGAGUUCUUAUUGGAGUCUUUCAAAAGCUAGCAAUGCCCCGUUCCCUCGGCAGUGCAUGUUUCUAACAGAAAACAGUAUCAGUACAUUUCCCACACAAGUGAUGACUGCUCACCUCCAACACUUGGAAGAGCACUUGAGGACCUACUUCCCAAUCCAUUUGUCUGGGAUCCUUGCUCAGUUGACAUGCCAGUAAGUGAAAUCGAACAGCUGAUUGAGCUGUCGAUCAUGUGACCGAAUUCUGCAGACAAACCAUUCACGUGUCACCACGGAGGAGUUUUUGUUCUUGACUCGAAGUGAAACCCUGCUGUCUCCCUCUGAGCAUUAUUGCUACGUUUAUAACAACUGAGAACUGGGAACUUGGAAUCUCAGACUUCUGACUUCAGUACGUUCAAGAUAACUGGGAACUCUGGAAAAAAUAAGCUCCAACUGAGAAAAAUUGUUUUGAACAGUCAUCCAACUCGGAAUUCCAACUCGGGAACUCAGGCCUCUUUCUAGAGCUCUGACUUUCCGACCUGAAGAUCACUGAGGUCAUGAUUUGACAUUGUAUUUUUCAGAGUUCCCAGUUGUCUUGAAAGCACCAUAAAACUCAUGGUACCCUUCGCCAGCUCAUAUCUGUGUAAUGCUGGUUUUAAUGCCCUCGUUUGCAUUAAAACCAAAUAUCGAUCCAGAUUUGAUGUGACAGCAGAGAUGAGGUGCACACUGUUGACCACGCCCCCUGACUUUGAGAAGCUCCGACGCGACAUGCAUCAAGCACACCCAUCCCAUUAGUGGUGGUGAGAUAAGAGACAUUAUGUCCGACUAAUUUGCAAUUGACUGCCAUAGCCCCACAUUAAAGGUAUGUGAUGUUUGUUGUUGAUGUGGACACCAAGGAACUUGAAGCUCUCAACCUGCUCCACUACAGCCCCACCGAUGAGAAUGGGGGCAUGCUCGGUCCUCCUUUUCCUGUUGUCCAAAAUCA
Long non-coding RNA from Oncorhynchus tshawytscha (Chinook salmon), 1117 nucleotides. Lineage: Eukaryota; Metazoa; Chordata; Actinopteri; Salmoniformes; Salmonidae. The record is from Ensembl.